UAGGGAAUCUUCGGCAAUGGACGAAAGUCUGACCGAGCAACGCCGCGUGAGUGAAGAAGGUUUUCGGAUCGUAAAACUCUGUUGUUAGAGAAGAACAAGGACGUUAGUAACUGAACGUCCCCUGACGGUACCUAACCAGAAAGCCACGGCUAACUACGUGCCAGCAGCCGCGGUAAUACGUAGGUGGCAAGCGUUGUUCGGAUUUAUUGGGCGUAAAGCGAGCGCAGGCGGUUUCUUAAGUCUGAUGUGAAAGCCCCCGGCUCAACCGGGGAGGGUCAUUGGAAACUGGGAGACUUGAGUGCAGAAGAGGAGAGUGGAAUUCCAUGUGUAGCAGUGAAAUGCGUAGAUAUAUGGAGAAACACCAGUGGCGAAGGCGGCUCUCUGGUCUGUAACUGACGCUGAGGCUCGAAAGCGUGGGGAGCAAACAGG
Molecule: ribosomal RNA, 429 nt
Filed under: Gemmatimonadota bacterium
Lineage: Bacteria; Pseudomonadati; Gemmatimonadota
Description: Gemmatimonadetes bacterium partial 16S ribosomal RNA
Rfam family: Bacterial small subunit ribosomal RNA
Source: RNAcentral